Heterocephalus glaber (naked mole-rat) is the source of this 61-nucleotide non-coding RNA. Lineage: Eukaryota; Metazoa; Chordata; Mammalia; Rodentia; Bathyergidae. The record is from Rfam.
UGUAGCUCAGUGGUAGAGUGCUUGCCUAGCAUGCAGGACUUUCUGAGUUCAAUUCCCAGCA